Trifolium pratense (red clover) is the source of this 1628-nucleotide long non-coding RNA. RefSeq lists it as uncharacterized. The record is from RefSeq and is a predicted model, not a curated record. Lineage: Eukaryota; Viridiplantae; Streptophyta; Magnoliopsida; Fabales; Fabaceae. The transcript is spliced from 3 exons.
ACUACCGGCUUUGCUAAAUCCGUAGUGGAAAGUAGACACGGUGGCAAUGUCGUAAUUACGUUGAAAUUUGUUUUAAUUGUAUUUCACUACCGAUUUGGUAUUCACCGGUAGUGGAAUGUUCAUUAAUUAAUUAAUUUGUUCAUUCCUCUUCAUUCAUCCCUUAUGCGAAGCCCCAAAUCGCCAAAUCCCUAAAAAUCCCAAAGCGCCAUCUUCAUUGAAUCCAAUCAUUCCCAAUUUCUUCAAUCAUUCUCCAAUCUCUUCGUUUUGAUUCGGUUUCAUUCUCCAAACCCUAGACGGCCGACCCCUUUUUCAUUCGUUGUCAACGAUUUCAUCCCGUCCUCGAUUCCCUUUUGUUCGCCGUCAACGAUUCCCUUCCAUCAACCUUCAGUUCUCAUCACCGUUGAACUCAAGCCGCCGUUUCUUCGAUUCUCAUCAUAAACCCAGUCGCUGUUUCACAUAGAUUGAUUUGAGAUGUUUACAUGGGAUGGUUUGUGGUAGUAGGCUCAGUGUGGAGGUGGUGUCGAUUUUAUGCCUCCAAAAGCUUAUGUAGUCCGCUCUGCUAUUUUUCUUGUUUUUUCUGCGUUUUUCCUUGUCUUUGGCUGUGAGAUUUGGUUCUCUGCUUUCCUGACUGUGUGAUUUGGUUCCCUGCAUUUUUUGUUUUCGUGGCUACAUCUACUGUGUUUACUUUUGUGGAUUUUAGAUCAUAAAUAGAUUAGUCUAUAGCUUGGAGACAUAAGUUCUUAUUUGCAUCAAGUUUAUGUGUGAUUGCAGGGUGUGCUCACUAGAUUUAUGAACUCCAAAUUGUAUGCCAUUAGCAGUUCUGAAGGAUUUGCUUGUACAAAGUUUAUAGUACUUGCUUGAUUUCUAAUUAAUAAAAAGCAAAGUUAUGACAAGUUAUUCUACUACCUCUUAUAAUUCUGAGCAUCUAGUAGUGUGUUGCUACAGAUUUCAGGUACAGAUUGGUAUUGAAGGUUUGUGUUUGAUGAAGAUUGAGAAAGAUUGCAAAAAAUAUAGGCUCAUGGUGCAUUGAUGAUAGUGUAUAUAAGAGGUAUGAUUUUUUUUUUCCUUAUUAUAUCCUUGGGCAUGUUGUAUGUGUGUAGGCCAUUUAACAUUUCUACAUAUUCAUCAUGCAUGAUUAAUAUUCUGUGAUAAUGUGUUGUACUAACCUAGCUAAUAAUGUUGAUAUGCAAAAUUAUAAUUAAGAACAACACUGUGUCCAGCAAAUUGUUAAGAUUUUAUGCUUCUUAGCUAAGUAAUGUAGACAUUAUAAGCCUUAGAACUCAACCAUUCCCUAUCUAAGAAUAUCUAAGUUGUUUUGUCUCAAAUGAUGAAUUAAGAGUUGAUGAUGCAUUUGUUUCUUGACUCUACUGAAUUAAGUUUUUUUGGGAUUGUUCUGCAUAAUUGCAGUAGUAUUACUAUUAGGAUUUGUGUUUGGUGUAAUUUUUACAUUCACAUCCAAUAGAAAAUUUACUAUUUUGCUAUAUGAUCCAUUUCCUUACAAUAUAUACUCAUUGAAUCACUACUUGUAUUUGUAUGUUGCUGCAUACUCAUUGAAUGCACAGGAAGCAACAAAAAAACGAAAAAAUAUAAAAAUAAAACUAACAUACCACUACUGAUAUUUAUAAUAA